GGGUUGUGAGGUUAAGCGACUAAGCGUACACGGUGGAUGCCCUGGCAGUCAGAGGCGAUGAAGGACGUGCUAAUCUGCGAUAAGCGUCGGUAAGGUGAUAUGAACCGUUAUAACCGGCGAUUUCCGAAUGGGGAAACCCAGUGUGUUUCGACACACUAUCAUUAACUGAAUCCAUAGGUUAAUGAGGCGAACCGGGGGAACUGAAACAUCUAAGUACCCCGAGGAAAAGAAAUCAACCGAGAUUCCCCCAGUAGCGGCGAGCGAACGGGGAGCAGCCCAGAGCCUGAAUCAGUGUGUGUGUUAGUGGAAGCGUCUGGAAAGGCGUGCGAUACAGGGUGACAGCCCCGUACACAAAAAUGCACAUAUUGUGAGCUCGAUGAGUAGGGCGGGACACGUGGUAUCCUGUCUGAAUAUGGGGGGACCAUCCUCCAAGGCUAAAUACUCCUGACUGACCGAUAGUGAACCAGUACCGUGAGGGAAAGGCGAAAAGAACCCCGGCGAGGGGAGUGAAAAAGAACCUGAAACCGUGUACGUACAAGCAGUGGGAGCCUCUUUUAUGGGGUGACUGCGUACCUUUUGUAUAAUGGGUCAGCGACUUAUAUUCUGUAGCAAGGUUAACCGAAUAGGGGAGCCGAAGGGAAACCGAGUCUUAACUGGGCGUUAAGUUGCAGGGUAUAGACCCGAAACCCGGUGAUCUAGCCAUGGGCAGGUUGAAGGUUGGGUAACACUAACUGGAGGACCGAACCGACUAAUGUUGAAAAAUUAGCGGAUGACUUGUGGCUGGGGGUGAAAGGCCAAUCAAACCGGGAGAUAGCUGGUUCUCCCCGAAAGCUAUUUAGGUAGCGCCUCGUGAAUUCAUCUCCGGGGGUAGAGCACUGUUUCGGCAAGGGGGUCAUCCCGACUUACCAACCCGAUGCAAACUGCGAAUACCGGAGAAUGUUAUCACGGGAGACACACGGCGGGUGCUAACGUCCGUCGUGAAGAGGGAAACAACCCAGACCGCCAGCUAAGGUCCCAAAGUCAUGGUUAAGUGGGAAACGAUGUGGGAAGGCCCAGACAGCCAGGAUGUUGGCUUAGAAGCAGCCAUCAUUUAAAGAAAGCGUAAUAGCUCACUGGUCGAGUCGGCCUGCGCGGAAGAUGUAACGGGGCUAAACCAUGCACCGAAGCUGCGGCAGCGACGCUUAUGCGUUGUUGGGUAGGGGAGCGUUCUGUAAGCCUGUGAAGGUGUGCUGUGAGGCAUGCUGGAGGUAUCAGAAGUGCGAAUGCUGACAUAAGUAACGAUAAAGCGGGUGAAAAGCCCGCUCGCCGGAAGACCAAGGGUUCCUGUCCAACGUUAAUCGGGGCAGGGUGAGUCGACCCCUAAGGCGAGGCCGAAAGGCGUAGUCGAUGGGAAACAGGUUAAUAUUCCUGUACUUGGUGUUACUGCGAAGGGGGGACGGAGAAGGCUAUGUUGGCCGGGCGACGGUUGUCCCGGUUUAAGCGUGUAGGCUGGUUUUCCAGGCAAAUCCGGAAAAUCAAGGCUGAGGCGUGAUGACGAGGCACUACGGUGCUGAAGCAACAAAUGCCCUGCUUCCAGGAAAAGCCUCUAAGCAUCAGGUAACAUCAAAUCGUACCCCAAACCGACACAGGUGGUCAGGUAGAGAAUACCAAGGCGCUUGAGAGAACUCGGGUGAAGGAACUAGGCAAAAUGGUGCCGUAACUUCGGGAGAAGGCACGCUGAUAUGUAGGUGAAGUCCCUUGCGGAUGGAGCUGAAAUCAGUCGAAGAUACCAGCUGGCUGCAACUGUUUAUUAAAAACACAGCACUGUGCAAACACGAAAGUGGACGUAUACGGUGUGACGCCUGCCCGGUGCCGGAAGGUUAAUUGAUGGGGUCAGCGCAAGCGAAGCUCUUGAUCGAAGCCCCGGUAAACGGCGGCCGUAACUAUAACGGUCCUAAGGUAGCGAAAUUCCUUGUCGGGUAAGUUCCGACCUGCACGAAUGGCGUAAUGAUGGCCAGGCUGUCUCCACCCGAGACUCAGUGAAAUUGAACUCGCUGUGAAGAUGCAGUGUACCCGCGGCAAGACGGAAAGACCCCGUGAACCUUUACUAUAGCUUGACACUGAACAUUGAGCCUUGAUGUGUAGGAUAGGUGGGAGGCUUUGAAGUGUGGACGCCAGUCUGCAUGGAGCCGACCUUGAAAUACCACCCUUUAAUGUUUGAUGUUCUAACGUUGACCCGUAAUCCGGGUUGCGGACAGUGUCUGGUGGGUAGUUUGACUGGGGCGGUCUCCUCCUAAAGAGUAACGGAGGAGCACGAAGGUUGGCUAAUCCUGGUCGGACAUCAGGAGGUUAGUGCAAUGGCAUAAGCCAGCUUGACUGCGAGCGUGACGGCGCGAGCAGGUGCGAAAGCAGGUCAUAGUGAUCCGGUGGUUCUGAAUGGAAGGGCCAUCGCUCAACGGAUAAAAGGUACUCCGGGGAUAACAGGCUGAUACCGCCCAAGAGUUCAUAUCGACGGCGGUGUUUGGCACCUCGAUGUCGGCUCAUCACAUCCUGGGGCUGAAGUAGGUCCCAAGGGUAUGGCUGUUCGCCAUUUAAAGUGGUACGCGAGCUGGGUUUAGAACGUCGUGAGACAGUUCGGUCCCUAUCUGCCGUGGGCGCUGGAGAACUGAGGGGGGCUGCUCCUAGUACGAGAGGACCGGAGUGGACGCAUCACUGGUGUUCGGGUUGUCAUGCCAAUGGCACUGCCCGGUAGCUAAAUGCGGAAGAGAUAAGUGCUGAAAGCAUCUAAGCACGAAACUUGCCCCGAGAUGAGUUCUCCCUGACUCCUUGAGAGUCCUGAAGGAACGUUGAAGACGACGACGUUGAUAGGCCGGGUGUGUAAGCGCAGCGAUGCGUUGAGCUAACCGGUACUAAUGAACCGUGAGGCUUAACCUUACAACGCCGAAG
RNAcentral lists this ribosomal RNA (2925 nucleotides) under Escherichia coli. RNAcentral's name for it is "23S ribosomal RNA". It matches the Rfam family "Bacterial large subunit ribosomal RNA". The record is from RNAcentral. Lineage: Bacteria; Pseudomonadati; Pseudomonadota; Gammaproteobacteria; Enterobacterales; Enterobacteriaceae.